Molecule: ribosomal RNA, 253 nt
Filed under: uncultured bacterium
Lineage: Bacteria
Description: partial 16S ribosomal RNA
Rfam family: Bacterial small subunit ribosomal RNA
Source: RNAcentral
UACGUAGGUUGCAAGCGUUGUCCGGAAUUACUGGGCGUAAAGGGUCUGCAGGCGGCCUGUUAAGUCUCUUGUGAAAUCUCCGGGCUUAACCCGGAGCGGUCGAGGGAUACUGGCAGGCUAGAGGCCGUCAGAGGGAAGCGGAAUUCCCGGUGUAGUGGUGAAAUGCGUAGAUAUCGGGAGGAACACCAGUGGCGAAAGCGGCUUCCUAGGGCGGCCCUGACGCUCAUAGACGAAAGCGUGGGGAGCAAACCGG